This 436-nucleotide ribosomal RNA is filed under the name uncultured bacterium. RNAcentral's name for it is "bacterial SSU rRNA". It matches the Rfam family "Bacterial small subunit ribosomal RNA", at positions 355 to 796 of the family's 1533-position model. The record is from RNAcentral.
UCGAGAAUCUUCGGCAAUGGGCGCAAGCCUGACCGAGCGACGCCGCGUGGAGGAUGAAGGCCUUCGGGUUGUAAACUCCUGUCGAGGGGGAAGAAGGGUCGAAAGACCUUGACUGAUCCCUGGAGGAAGCACGGGCUAAGUUCGUGCCAGCAGCCGCGGUAAGACGAACCGUGCGAACGUUAUUCGGAAUCACUGGGCUUAAAGCGCGUGUAGGCGGGACGGCACGUCGGUCGCUGAAAUCCCCCGGCUCAACCGGGGAACGGGCGCCGAUACGACCGUCCUGGAGGGACGUAGGGGGACCUGGAACUUCCGGUGGAGCGGUGAAAUGCGUUGAGAUCGGAAGGAACGCCCGUGGCGAAAGCGAGGUCCUGGACGUUUUCUGACGCUGAGACGCGAAAGCCAGGGGAGCGAACGGGAUUAGAUACCCCUGUAGUCC